CCCCUCCAGGUCCGGGUGGUGAUAAAAGGAGGAAAAGUAAAAUUGAAACUGACUCAAAUUCUUUUGUGACAUACAAGCUAGUUUCAAACACAA
This 93-nucleotide small nucleolar RNA is filed under the name Echinops telfairi (small Madagascar hedgehog). Its description in RNAcentral is "Small nucleolar RNA SNORA61 (ENSETEG00000025798.1)". Lineage: Eukaryota; Metazoa; Chordata; Mammalia; Afrosoricida; Tenrecidae. The record is from RNAcentral.